RNAcentral lists this ribosomal RNA (112 nucleotides) under Carlito syrichta (Philippine tarsier). Lineage: Eukaryota; Metazoa; Chordata; Mammalia; Primates; Tarsiidae. The record is from RNAcentral.
GUCUAUGGCCAUACCAUCCUGAAUACGCCCAAUCCUGUCUGGUCUUGGAAGCUAAGCAGGGUCAGGCCUGGUUAGUAUUUAGAUGGAGACAUUUACCGGUUUAUUAUAAAGA